This is a long non-coding RNA of Cygnus olor (mute swan), 571 nucleotides long. RefSeq lists it as uncharacterized. The transcript is spliced from 3 exons. Lineage: Eukaryota; Metazoa; Chordata; Aves; Anseriformes; Anatidae. The record is from RefSeq and is a predicted model, not a curated record.
UUCUGAUUACUGCAUUCAACCAUUUUCUCUGGUCAUAUCCAUACAGUUAUGGUUACGAUAGGUGAUCCUGUCCUUUUUCACAGCACUAUAAAAGCUGUGAUAGCAUAACCAUUUUGCUCAAAGCUUGAUAUAGCCAGGUUUAAUCUGGAUGUGUAGUCCUGUUUACCUUCUAAAGAUUAUAUAAAUGGCUAAAUGGUGAAAUUUGGGCUCAUUAAAUACACCUGUCAUGUAAUUAGUUAAAAGUAGGAAAAAUUAUAAAAUCACAUUUGGAGUUACUUGUCUUCUUUCUUCAGCAAAGACAAUACAUAGUACCUUGGGUGAGAGAAGAUUAUUUUGCUUUCUGAGUGAGUUCCUCAGCUGGAAAAUCAGAAUGCAGUUUUGAGCUGACAAGCGAGCCUGGUGAAAAGAAAAGGCCACGUUUCUGGAUUUUCAGCUGAAGUAACCCAGCCGUUUACAGAAGCAGCAGCCGAAUGACAGUUUCCAUGACAGCUGGUGACAUGGUUGCUGAUGAAAGGCCAGGCAUGGCUCUCUGAACACGUGUGCGCUGAAUUCAGCUUACACAGGAGCAAAG